This is a long non-coding RNA of Ostrinia furnacalis (Asian corn borer), 180 nucleotides long. RefSeq lists it as uncharacterized. The transcript is spliced from 2 exons. NCBI's taxonomy places the organism in Eukaryota, Metazoa, Arthropoda, Insecta, Lepidoptera, Crambidae. The record is from RefSeq and is a predicted model, not a curated record.
AACUCGCCAACGGUUUGAGUAUUGCAUCAUCCCAGGGCAGCCGCGCAUCACUUUUCGCCCCCCGCUCAGUCGUCGGUAGCGCCUCGUCGCCAGCACACGCCGUUUUCGAGUAGUGACCCGUGAUUUGUUUUCAUAUCAUCACGAUGAGGAUAAUAAACGAACAACUGAACGAUGAAGAAA